UACAGAGGGGGCAAGCGUUGUUCGGAAUUACUGGGCGUAAAAGGCGCGUAGGCGGCCCGCUAAGUCGAACGUGAAAUCCCCGAGCUCAACUCGGGAACUGCGUCCGAUACUGGCGGGCUUGAAUCCGGGAGAGGGAUGCGGAAUUCCAGGUGUAGCGGUGAAAUGCGUAGAUAUCUGGAGGAACACCGGUGGCGAAGGCGGCAUCCUGGACCGGCAUUGACGCUGAGGCGCGAAAGCGUGGGGAGCAAACAGG
RNAcentral lists this ribosomal RNA (253 nucleotides) under uncultured bacterium. RNAcentral's name for it is "partial 16S ribosomal RNA". It matches the Rfam family "Bacterial small subunit ribosomal RNA", at positions 524 to 776 of the family's 1533-position model. The record is from RNAcentral.